AUCUUCUGUAAAAACCCUGAACACAGCUGAUCUUUUGUGAUCUCUGAGUCUAAGCAGAGCUCGGCCUGGUUACUACCUGGAUGGGACACUGCCUAGGAACUAGUUCACAGCACCUU
This 116-nucleotide ribosomal RNA is filed under the name Neolamprologus brichardi. Lineage: Eukaryota; Metazoa; Chordata; Actinopteri; Cichliformes; Cichlidae. The record is from RNAcentral.